GAUCCAGGGCUUCUCUGUUAAUUUCUCUGGUUACGUACACUGAGGGUUUACUCAUUUUUGAAUACUGUCGGUACCGAUUUAUAGUAUUGUUGAUGAUCAGCUGGCGGUGUUCAUUCAAACUGAAAUAUUCUUUAUGGGGGAAAUUCAGGAGAAGAAGAUUGUCUUGUUACAUUUACAGAAAUAUUUAUUUUUGUGUUUUAUUUACCUAUCACUUACAUAACUUUAUCAUAUUGAGCGAAAUUCAAAUAAUUAUUAAGUGGUUUAAAACCAAUAAAUUUAUCAAUAAAAACUUUAACAUUC
Long non-coding RNA from Aethina tumida (small hive beetle), 300 nucleotides. RefSeq lists it as uncharacterized. The transcript is spliced from 2 exons. NCBI's taxonomy places the organism in Eukaryota, Metazoa, Arthropoda, Insecta, Coleoptera, Nitidulidae. The record is from RefSeq and is a predicted model, not a curated record.